GGGCGAUUAGCUCAGUUGGCUAGAGCGCCUGCUUUACACGCAGGAUGUCACAGGUUCGAGUCCUGUAUCGCCCA
Molecule: transfer RNA, 74 nt
Filed under: Phycisphaerae bacterium
Lineage: Bacteria; Pseudomonadati; Planctomycetota; Phycisphaerae
Description: tRNA-Val
Rfam family: tRNA
About the family: Transfer RNA (tRNA) molecules are approximately 80 nucleotides in length.
Source: RNAcentral